GUUAAAGAGAAAGUGCCAACACAAAGAUGAAGUGUUUCUUGGCCAUUGCUUUGAUCGCUACCUUCCUUUUGGCUUUGUUCUGUCAUUCUGGAAGUGCCCUGGUAUGUUACACUUGUCCUAUGAGUCCCUGUAAGACUAACGCAACAUGCGAACCCGAAAAAAAUGCUUGCAUGGUGGCAUAUCUUGGUACAAGAAAUGUCUCUGAGUGCUGGAAAUAUUCCCAAUGCGACCUGGAUUAUAUUGGGGCACAUUUCAAGGUUAACAGUUUUCGCUUUAGGUGCUGCCAAACAGAUCUGUGUAAUGGCAGUCCAAUUCCAGUGGCUAGUAAAAUAGUCGUGGCCAUUGCUUCCUUAGUGACAGUAAUCAAACUGGUCAGUUUUUGAUAUGGAGAAGAGAAGACAUACUAUUAGAUGCUUAAAAUUAAUACCUACUUACAGUUUUUGUGAAAGUGCAACAUUUGUAUAAGGGAAAUGGGUAUCAUGGAAAAACCACCACAUAGCAGUAUAAAAUGUAAAUGUGCUUUUGUUUCUGGCAUUUUACUUGCUGAUGUGUGUCUUUUCUAUAUGGUUUGAAAGAAGCUCAAGCUCAUGAAUUAUCAGUAGGUUGGAAGAAUGUUUAAUUGUAGAAGAUUCCAAUCUUUGAAUAAUAAUUUAUUGUAAUUGUCUGGCAAUUAAUAUGUUUGUAUAUCUGCAUAACAGUUCACUUGUCUAAGACACACUAUUGCCAAUUUUCAUUAUUAUUUUUUCACUUGAGAAAUUAAGACUUUCACUUUUACUUUGCAAUCAGAUCCAUUGGUAGAACUAGCUCUUAAAAUUGCAAGAAUCAAAUAUAUUUAUUUACCUGAUCCUUUUUUCCAACUUUGUUACUUAAAAACUUGUUCUUGCGAACUCAUUCAUUUAGAGCAGGCAAGCAUUAUUUGGGCAGUUGUGGUGAUCUCCAUUUAUAAAGGGAGUGCAGUGGUGGUCUCUUUGUAAACCAACAAUACAGUCUUAUGCUGCUCAGAUAUCUCAUCUCAAUAUACAGUACUACUAGACACUGGCAUAUGAGCCCAGCAUUUCAAACCAUUCAUAAUAAAAAUACACAUACAGUAGUACAAGCACUAUACCAUCAGUAUACAUAUUUAUUAACAUAAAUGUUAUGCAGUUGUUGGAAUCCAGUAUCUUUUGUUUGGAGACCAGACACCAUUUAAUUGGUUUGUAUUAUCUUAAACAUACUGAAUUUACAGUACUGACCAUACUAAUUUCAUUACUUUGGAAGUAGCAUGGUUCCCUACUAGUAGAUGAGUAUGAUUUAAACAGCAAUUUGAGUAAUGGUGACUUAUUUUCGACAGUCUUGUAUUGAAUGCUGGGUGUUUAUGUACAAGCAUUUGCAUUUAAGGUUGAAAUUAUAAUACAGCCUGAAUUUGUGACAUACAGUCUGAUAUAAUCUGUGUGAGGUUGGGAAAUAAAGGUGUUGCUGAAGUAUUGCCCAAGGAACCUUCCCUAACCAGAGAAUUCAGGAGGACUGCAUAUAAAAUUAUGUCUUUACUGGGAUCACCACCUUCUGGAGGACAUAGAUGGCUGCAGGCUGUGAGAGGAAAUGGGAAUGCCUUGUGUGCCAAGGCAGUACUUUGAAGUAGUAAAACUAGAACAAAGAGCAGAUCUGUAAAUGCAUUAAUCAUUGGGGAAAUAUUUCUAUCAGAGCAACUUUUUGCAGGGAUUGUUUGAUGUAUCAUGGAGAGUGAGGAAGCCACAGGAGAGCCCCUGCUGCCUCUUUGGACACUCCUUUUAAAUACCCUUUGGGAUGGAGUCAGAAGGAAACCACACCAUGUGUCCUGUGAUCUGGCUGAUAAAAGUAUGCACAUGUGAGAUGUUGUUAUAUGAUUUUAUUAAUGUAUUGCCUGCACUUUAAAAAGCUGUAAAUAAAUAUCCACAUUUGAAAAGCAGGGAUCCAAUCACUGCCCAUGUAACUUGCUCUGGCUAGAAGUGGCUAGAAAAUUCUCUCAUGUCUGGCUUACGAGGGAGUUGUGUUGGGCCAGGUAAACUUAUAAUUUGGUGUUUUAUCAUUUGAAUAUCUUCAGAAAAGACACUUGGGAUGUUUUUGCACCAUCAUACGUCCACAGUAUAUUCAGUUUUGCAUCUAAUGCUAUUUGAUAAUAAAAUAUAAAACCAAAAACUGG
Molecule: long non-coding RNA, 2158 nt
Organism: Anolis carolinensis (green anole)
Lineage: Eukaryota; Metazoa; Chordata; Lepidosauria; Squamata; Anolidae
Gene: cd59
Product: CD59 molecule (CD59 blood group)
Exons: 3
Source: RefSeq, a predicted model, not a curated record